This 252-nucleotide ribosomal RNA is filed under the name uncultured bacterium. RNAcentral's name for it is "partial small subunit ribosomal RNA". It matches the Rfam family "Bacterial small subunit ribosomal RNA", at positions 26 to 285 of the family's 1533-position model. The record is from RNAcentral.
AGGACGAACGCUGGCGGCGUGCUUAACACAUGCAAGUCGAGCGGAAAGGCCCUUCGGGGUACUCGAGCGGCGAACGGGUGAGUAACACGUGAGCAACCUGCCCUUAGCUCUGGGAUAGCUCCGGGAAACCGGAAUUAAUACCGGAUACGACCUAGGCCGACAUCGGCCAUGGUGGAAAGUUUUUCGGCUAGGGAUGGACUCGCGGCCUAUCAGCUAGUUGGUGGGUAAAGCCUACCAAGGCGACGACGGGUA